Molecule: microRNA, 22 nt
Filed under: Dasypus novemcinctus (nine-banded armadillo)
Lineage: Eukaryota; Metazoa; Chordata; Mammalia; Cingulata; Dasypodidae
Also listed under: 26 other names
Description: dno-miR-340-5p
Gene: dno-miR-340-5p
Source: miRBase by way of RNAcentral
UUAUAAAGCAAUGAGACUGAUU